Non-coding RNA from Coturnix japonica (Japanese quail), 1216 nucleotides. The record is from RefSeq and is a predicted model, not a curated record. Lineage: Eukaryota; Metazoa; Chordata; Aves; Galliformes; Phasianidae.
GCUCCAUACUGUUAACUGCUUAAAGCAGUGGUAGAUUGCCUUCAGUUCUUCAUGAUGUGACUGUCAGGCAAGGAGUGCUUGUCUGACUGCUGCUCCCAUUUACUCAAAAGGAAGAUCUGGUAUCAACACUAAGCACUAGCUUUGGGAGUCCUGCAGUCUUGGAUCAGGAUGGGGAGAUAAGAUUGUGUCUUUCAGGAGAUCUGGUAAUGUUACGCUUCCAGUGCAUUACUAAAACAAAAUACAAGAUCCUUGAAAAUUGAAAUAUGGUCAAGAAGAACAACUGUCCAUUAACUUAAGUGCAAAAGGAAAAUGUUGUGGUUGAACAGUCUCAGGAUGUGGUCUGUAUGUUAGCACUGAGUCAUCUCUCUGGAUCCAAAAGAAUUCAUUUGUAGAAGAAAGCAGAAGAAGCUGCCCUGAGCCACCACAAGCAAUCUGCCACAAUUACACUAGCAAGGAUAAACACUUACUUAAGAGCCUGAUACAAACCUCUGUGCUGCUGAAUGCCUAGCUGAUGGUAUGCAAGAAAACAGGAGGCUUCAGGAGUCAGUUCUCCCAAGAUGGACCCACCCAGCACAAGAAAGAAGUGGCCCUGUUGGAGAGAAUCUGGAGGAGACCAUGAGAAUGCUCAGAAAGCUUAAGCACCUCUCCUCUGAAGACCGGCUGAGGGAGAUGAGCUUGUUCAGCUUGGAGAAGUCCCUGUGGAGACCUCAUUCUGGCCUUUCGGUGCUUAAAGAGAGUUUACAAGAAAGAUGGAGAGCAACUUUACAUGGACAUGCAGUGAUAAGACAAGAGCUUAUUCCUGGUUGGAAAAAUGUUCCUUGUCAACUUCUUGAAAAAUAUGUGGACCAUAAUGCAGGCUCACUGCUGUCACAGCUAACAAGCGGUGGUGUUCAAUCUAGCAUUUAAAGCCUGCUACCUGUUGGUCUGAUUCCCAAUACCAGGCAAGUGCUUGCUUCAUUUUGAACAGAAAAAAAUGGAAUACCACACAACCCUGUCUUACUUAUGUUUUUUUUGCUGCUCUGUCUGUUCUGCAACUCUCCAACGUUGGCUCAUAGUUCAUUGCAACACAAGUAAGUAGCCUUUUACACUCAGGGCUGGAAGUGAUUAUGUGCAGUGCAUAUUUUAUCUGCAGUCAAAAUCGUUGGUGGGCUGUGUCACAUAACUUGGUAUCCCUUUGAUUCUUAAAGGGCAGGUAUUGAUAUUUCAGAAAGCAACC